AUCUAUCUGACGAGUCCCAAAUAGGACGAAACGCGCGUCCUGGAU
Schistosoma rodhaini is the source of this 45-nucleotide non-coding RNA. Lineage: Eukaryota; Metazoa; Platyhelminthes; Trematoda; Strigeidida; Schistosomatidae. The record is from Rfam.